UCCCUCCCUUUCUUAGCUUGGAUAGUAUUUUCUGGAACCAUGGGCGCUCUAUGGCAAAGAAAAGGCUUCCAGAAGAAAACAAAUGCAUGACAAUGAAACAAAGUGAAGACUUUUACUGUAGUCUAUGCCAUGGUAAUGCAAUUUCUAACUGCCAGAUCCAGAACCAAGAGAACUGUUAUUGCUCAAAAAUUACCCAGUUUGUAGUAUUUUGCUAUAGCAACACAAAAUAGACUAAAACAGGUAAGGCAUGGUUUUAGUGUGGUACUCUUUCAAGUUGUUUUGCAGGAAUAGAAUUCUAUUUAGAAACAGAGUUAAUAAUAAUAUGUUAAGAGAAAGGAGAUAAGUGGAAAUAAGUCAUAAACACUGUGGUUUUGGACUCUGUUUAUGUUCCCUGUAGGAUGGGAGCAACAAAAUCCCCAGCUAUCUUUAGGAGUCAGAUAGAAGCAAGCAAGCAAAGGCAGGGAAAAGACACUCGAG
This 477-nucleotide long non-coding RNA is filed under the name Cricetulus griseus (Chinese hamster). Its description in RNAcentral is "lncRNA (ENSCGRG00000025358.1)". Lineage: Eukaryota; Metazoa; Chordata; Mammalia; Rodentia; Cricetidae. The record is from RNAcentral.